AUGGCCGCUCCGUGCCCCUGCCUGCGCCCCAGCGCUGUCCCCAAGGAGCCGGGCGCUGCCGGCUUUGGGGCUGCAGCCGGGAUUUCUGGGGUCGGGCAGCCCCCGUCCCUCCCUCCCCCGGCUGCCGGCCGCAAAGGGCAGCAGUGGGAGGCCGGGCUGGAGGUGAGCUCAGCUGCCCGGGGACGGGCCCGAGGGCAGGGCGGGCACGGCCUCACCCACUCCGGGCGAGGAGGAGGAGGAGAAGGAGCAGGAUGUGAGGAUGAAGCUCCCCAGCGGCUUGACCUGCCCGUGCCCUGUGCCCGCUUUGUCCCGGGGCGGGGGCUCCCUCCUGGCACCGCUGGCUGGCGCAGGGAGAGCGGCUCGGGAAGCCGGAGCUGCAUCUGCCGGGCCGCGUCUCCUUCCUCCUCCUCCUCCUCUCCUGUCUCAGGUGUUGUCCCAGCGGGAGCCGUGGCAGCCGGAAAGCUCCGCAGAGCCAAGCGCAGCGCGGGGCUUUGGGGAGGGGACAAGGCAGCGAGGGGCAGCCCCGCCGCCUCGGCACGCUGGAGACCCCCGGGGACGGGCCGGCGGCUUUUCCCAACUGCUCCAGCGCUGCUGGCGGGAUCUGCUGCCUCGGGGGGGAAACCAGAUACCCUGCCCUGCGGCUGGGGGGGCGAGGGGCCGGCCCCACGCCGAGCGGACCCCCCCAGACACGCUGCCGGGGAGCUGGGCCGGGGCUCCCUCCAGCCGUGGAUCCUUUGGGCAGCUCCGUCCGGCACCUCCGCGGCACCUCCGCAGCCCCUCCGGAUCCUCAGGGCUGCGGAGCGUCCCCCAUUCACCCGGGGGAGGGGAUCCAGAGCCCCCCCCGUCACCCCUGACAUGUCUGUUGGGCCCGUCCUCAUGGAUUCAACACCAAAUCCGCACUUCCCGAGCAAUAAAUCAGCCAGCAGCGCGUCCGUGUGUGGUUUGUCCCUACGGGGGGUCCCCGAACUGCUGCUAAUGACUUCAGCACCCAGUGUCCCGGUGGGUUUGGGGAAACGGGGUCCUGCUGUGCACCCCGCGUCCCGGAGGAAGCCGGGAGGAUGCGAUGGCAGCCGGGAGGGCUCGGACCUGGCCGGGGCCGGGGUCUGGAGUGGAAGCGAAUCCGCCUGUUACCUCCCGGCCCUUCCCGGCGCUCCCAGCGCCUUUGUUUUAAACAAAGCUUUUUUUGGGGGGAGCCAGGACGUUGCUCUCCCCUCCGAGAGAGCCCCCGCGGCAGCACCCACUCAUGGGUGA
Molecule: long non-coding RNA, 1251 nt
Filed under: Camarhynchus parvulus
Lineage: Eukaryota; Metazoa; Chordata; Aves; Passeriformes; Thraupidae
Description: lncRNA (ENSCPVG00000008524.2)
Source: RNAcentral